Molecule: ribosomal RNA, 444 nt
Filed under: uncultured bacterium
Lineage: Bacteria
Description: bacterial SSU rRNA
Rfam family: Bacterial small subunit ribosomal RNA
Source: RNAcentral
AGUUUGAUCCUGGCUCAGGACGAACGCUGGCGGCGUGCCUAAUACAUGCAAGUAGAACGCUGAAGGAGGAGCUUGCUUCUCUGGAUGAGUUGCGAACGGGUGAGUAACGCGUAGGUAACCUGCCUGGUAGCGGGGGAUAACUAUUGGAAACGAUAGCUAAUACCGCAUAAGAGUGGAUGUUGCAUGACAUUUGCUUAAAAGGUGCACUUGCAUCACUACCAGAUGGACCUGCGUUGUAUUAGCUAGUUGGUGGGGUAAGGGCUCACCAAGGCGACGAUACAUAGCCGACCUGAGAGGGUGAUCGGCCACACUGGGACUGAGACACGGCCCAGACUCCUACGGGAGGCAGCAGUAGGGAAUCUUCGGCAAUGGACGGAAGUCUGACCGAGCAACGCCGCGUGAGUGAAGAAGGUUUUCGGAUCGUAAAGCUCUGUUGUAAGAGAA